This 449-nucleotide ribosomal RNA is filed under the name uncultured bacterium. RNAcentral describes it as "bacterial SSU rRNA". It matches the Rfam family "Bacterial small subunit ribosomal RNA", at positions 354 to 796 of the family's 1533-position model. The record is from RNAcentral.
GUGGGGAAUUUUGGACAAUGGGCGCAAGCCUGAUCCAGCAACGCCGCGUGAGUGAUGAAGGCCUUCGGGUUGUAAAGCUCUGUCGGAGGGAACGAAUAAGGGUGACCUAACACGUCACCCCUUGACGGUACUCUCAAAGGAAGCACCGGCUAACUCUGUGCCAGCAGCCGCGGUAAGACAGAGGGUGCGAGCGUUGUUCGGAAUUACUGGGCGUAAAGGGCGUGUAGGCGGCAGAGUAUGUCCGAUGUGAAAUCCCUCGGCUCAACUGGGGAAGGGCGUCGGAAACUGCUCAGCUUGAGUGCAGGAGAGGGUGGCGGAAUUCCCAGAGUAGAGGUGAAAUUCGUAGAUACUGGGAGGAACACCUGAGGCGAAGGCGGCCACCUGGCCUGCAACUGACGCUGAUACGCGAAAGCGUGGGGAGCAAACAGGAUUAGAAACCCCUGUAGUCC